This 411-nucleotide ribosomal RNA is filed under the name Devosia sp. Its description in RNAcentral is "bacterial SSU rRNA". It matches the Rfam family "Bacterial small subunit ribosomal RNA", at positions 395 to 823 of the family's 1533-position model. The record is from RNAcentral. Lineage: Bacteria; Pseudomonadati; Pseudomonadota; Alphaproteobacteria; Hyphomicrobiales; Devosiaceae.
UGCCGCGUGAGUGAUGAAGGCCUUAGGGUUGUAAAGCUCUUUCAGUGGGGAAGAUAAUGACGGUACCCACAGAAGAAGCCCCGGCUAACUUCGUGCCAGCAGCCGCGGUAAUACGAAGGGGGCUAGCGUUGUUCGGAUUUACUGGGCGUAAAGCGCACGUAGGCGGAUUGUUAAGUCAGGGGUGAAAUCCUGGAGCUCAACUCCAGAACUGCCUUUGAUACUGGCAAUCUCGAGUCCGGAAGAGGUAAGUGGAACUCCUAGUGUAGAGGUGGAAUUCGUAGAUAUUANGAAGAACACCAGUGGCGAAGGCGGCUUACUGGUCCGGUACUGACGCUGAGGUGCGAAAGCGUGNGGAGCAAACAGGAUUAGAUACCCUGGUAGUCCACGCCGUANACUAUGAGAGCUAGCCNU